This 253-nucleotide ribosomal RNA is filed under the name uncultured bacterium. RNAcentral's name for it is "partial 16S ribosomal RNA". It matches the Rfam family "Bacterial small subunit ribosomal RNA", at positions 524 to 776 of the family's 1533-position model. The record is from RNAcentral.
GACAGGGGGCGCAAACGUUGUUCGGAAUUACUGGGCAUAAAGAGCACGUAGGCGGUCUACUAAGUUACUUGUGAAAGCCCCCGGCUCAACCGGGGAACAGCAUGUGAGACUGGUAGACUCGAGAGUAGCAGGGGUGAAUGGAACUCCAGGUGGAGCGGUGAAAUGCGUAGAUAUCUGGAGGAACACCGGUGGCGAAAGCGGUUCACUGGGCUACUUCUGACGCUGAGGUGCGAAAGCUAGGGGAGCAAACGGG